GAUGAACGCUGGCGGCGUGCCUAAUACAUGCAAGUCGAGCGAACGGACGAGAAGCUUGCUUUUUUGAUGUUAGCGGCGGACGGGUGAGUAACACGUGGAUCACCUACUUAUAAGACUGGGAUAACUUCGGGAAACCGGAGCUAAUACCGGAUAAUAUUUUGAACCGCAUGGUUCAAAAGUGAAAGACGGCCUUGCUGUCACUUAUAGAUGGAUCCGCGCUGCAUUAGCUAGUUGGUAAGGUAACGGCUUACCAAGGCAACGAUGCAUAGCCGACCUGAGAGGGUGAUCGGCCACACUGGAACUGGGACACGGUCCAGACUCCUAAGGGAGGCAGCAGUAGGGAAUCUUCCGCAAUGGGCGGAAGCCUGGCGGAGCAACGCCGCGUGAGUGAUGGAAGUCUUCGGAUCGUAAAACUCUGUUAUUAGGGAAGAACAUAUGUGUAAGUAACUGUGCACAGCUUGACGGUACCUAAUCAGAAAGCCACGGCUAACUACGUG
Molecule: ribosomal RNA, 497 nt
Filed under: uncultured bacterium
Lineage: Bacteria
Description: partial 16S ribosomal RNA
Rfam family: Bacterial small subunit ribosomal RNA
Source: RNAcentral